RNAcentral lists this ribosomal RNA (317 nucleotides) under uncultured low G+C Gram-positive bacterium 98ev. Its description in RNAcentral is "bacterial SSU rRNA". It matches the Rfam family "Bacterial small subunit ribosomal RNA", at positions 9 to 327 of the family's 1533-position model. Lineage: Bacteria; Bacillati; Bacillota. The record is from RNAcentral.
GAGUUUGAUCCUGGCUCAGGACGAACGCUGGCGGCGUGCCUAACACAUGCAAGUCGAGCGGAGAUAAUAGUAAUAUUAUCUUAGCGGCGGACGGGUGAGUAACGCGUGGGCAACCUGCCUUUCACAGGGGGAUAACACAGGGAAACUUGUGCUAAUACCGCAUAACACAACGAGAUAGCAUUUUCUUGUUGUCAAAGGAGCAAUCCGGUGAUUGAUGGGCCCGCGUCCAAUUAGCUAGUUGGUGGUGUAAUGGACCACCAAGGCGACGAUUGGUAGCCGAACUGAGAGGUUGAUCGGCCACAUUGGGACUGAGACAC